Molecule: transfer RNA, 75 nt
Filed under: Lepocinclis playfairiana
Lineage: Eukaryota; Euglenozoa; Euglenophyceae; Euglenales; Phacaceae
Description: tRNA-Ile
Rfam family: tRNA
About the family: Transfer RNA (tRNA) molecules are approximately 80 nucleotides in length.
Source: RNAcentral
GGGCUAUUAGCUCAGUCGGUUUAGAGCGUGCCCUUGAUAAGGGUGAGGUCGAUGGUUCAAGUCCAUCAUGGCCCU